UGAUGCAGCGAUGCCGCGUGAGUGAAGAAGGCCUUUGGGUUGUAAAGCUCUUUCGUCGGGGAAGAAAAUGACUGUACCCGAAUAAGAAGGUCCGGCUAACUUCGUGCCAGCAGCCGCGGUAAUACGAAGGGACCUAGCGUAGUUCGGAAUUACUGGGCUUAAAGAGUUCGUAGGUGGUUAAAAAAGUUGGUGGUGAAAUCCCAGAGCUUAACUCUGGAACUGCCAUCAAAACUUUUUAGCUAGAGUAUGAUAGAGGAAAGCUGAAUUUCUAGUGUAGAGGUGAAAUUCGUAGAUAUUAGAAAGAAUACCAAUUGCGAAGGCAGCUUUCUGGAUCAUUACUGACACUGAGGAACGAAAGCAUGGGUAGCGAAGAGGAUUAGAUACCCUCGUAGUCCAUGCCGUAAACGAUGUGUGCUAGACGUUGGAAAUUUAUUUUCAGUGUCGCAGCGAAAGCGAUAAACACACCGCCUGGGGAGUACGACCGCAAGGUUA
RNAcentral lists this ribosomal RNA (492 nucleotides) under uncultured Alphaproteobacteria bacterium. Its description in RNAcentral is "bacterial SSU rRNA". It matches the Rfam family "Bacterial small subunit ribosomal RNA", at positions 384 to 896 of the family's 1533-position model. The record is from RNAcentral. Lineage: Bacteria; Pseudomonadati; Pseudomonadota; Alphaproteobacteria.